Molecule: long non-coding RNA, 1004 nt
Filed under: Fragaria vesca (wild strawberry)
Lineage: Eukaryota; Viridiplantae; Streptophyta; Magnoliopsida; Rosales; Rosaceae
Description: long non-coding RNA (FVES_LNC000033)
Source: RNAcentral
AUACAUCAAAUCCAAACGUCACAAAGAUGAAAGAAAAACUACUAAAAUUAAAACUAAAUCGAAAUACAGAAGUAGAAGUCAUGUUUUACACUUUUUGGAUCUUCAAAGAAAGCUUCAAAGCACGUCAAGAGUAGAACACGGAAGAGAUGAAUUGCCAAGCUUCGGAAAAGUCCUAAUCUUGGCAGAAACUAAAGCUAAAACUAGGAUAUAUGGGAGGAACAAAGCUACGGUUAUGGAGAGCAGACGAACGGCAAUUUCUGACUUUUGGUGCGUAAGAAGUGAUGCCUUUGCCGUCUCCAACUCCUCCUAUAUGUAUGAGCAGCUGCUAUUAGGGUUAGAGAACCCUAAUUUUCGUCUAUGGGCUUGCCUAUGUGGUAUGGGCAUUGAAAUUAAACUUUCGGUCCAAUUCAGAAAUUCGGGCAGACUGACCUUUGGCCACUCAAAUGAUCAUAACUUCUUCUCCAAAAUAGCUAUUGAUGAUCCGCGAAAAGUUCUGGAAACUAGACUCUUCUAGCUUUCCGUUGAUAUAAAGUUCAUCUCAUGGAUCAUUGUGAGCUGAUCACAAUCCUCUGUCGAAGUUGACUGCCAAUUCCUGGCAUAUUUCUGAUUUCUUUCCUUGUGCCAUAUGGAUUCCUUUUCCUUCAAGAUCUCUCAUCUUUUGCUUCUUUUGUGCUCCUCGGCUUCAUUUGCGACCUAAAAACACAAACUAAGUUAAAAUGAAUAUUGUUAAAGGAAUUACAUAGCUAAAUAGGGUCGAAAAUACAUUAAGAUGCACCUAUCAAAUUCCCCCACACUUAGGUUUUUCUAGUCCCUUAGCAAAAUCAAACAAAAAACUCAAUACACACAAACCAGAAAUUACACAACUACAAAACUCAACAAACAAACAAACAACUCUAUUGCCCAUAACAUAUUGUCUCAGAAUCUCCAAUCUCUUGGCAUCAAAAUUAGCACUCAAUCAAGAAUCAUUCCAUGAAGUUUCAGAAGCUAAUUGCCAUGCAUAGAUC